This 466-nucleotide ribosomal RNA is filed under the name uncultured bacterium. RNAcentral describes it as "partial 16S ribosomal RNA". It matches the Rfam family "Bacterial small subunit ribosomal RNA", at positions 29 to 507 of the family's 1533-position model. The record is from RNAcentral.
ACGAACGCUGGCGGCGUGCUUAACCCAUGCAAGUCGAACGGAAAGGCCCUGCUUUUGUGGGGUGCUCGAGUGGCGAACGGGUGAGUAACACGUGAGUAACCUGCCCUUGACUUUGGGAUAACUUCAGGAAACUGGGGCUAAUACCGGAUAGGAGCUCCUGCUGCAUGGUGGGGGUUGGAAAGUUUCGGCGGUUGGGGAUGGACUCGCGGCUUAUCAGCUUGUUGGUGGGGUAGUGGCUUACCAAGGCUUUGACGGGUAGCCGGCCUGAGAGGGUGACCGGCCACAUGGGACUGGGGAUACGGCCAGGAUCCUUCGGGGGGGAAGAGGGGGGAAAAUUGCCACAUGGGGCGAAGGCUGGAGCCACAACCCCGGGGGGGGGAUGGCGGGCUUCGGGGUGUAAACCGCUUUCGCCUGUGACGAAGCGUGAGUGACGGUAAUGGGUAAAGAAGCACCGGCUAACUACGUG